CUGGUUGAUCCUGCCGGCGGCCACCGCUAUUGGAAUUCGAUUAAGACAUGCGAGUCGAGAGUCGCAAGGACUCGGCGGACCGCUCAGUAACACGCGGAUAACAUGCCCUUGGGUGGGGGAUAACCUCGGGAAACUGAGAAUAAUACCCCAUAGAUCUCGAAAGCUGGAAUGCUUCAAGAUCCAAAACUCCGGUGCCCAAGGAUUGGUCUGCGGCGUAUCAGGUUGUAGUGGGUGUAACGGACCCCCUAGCCUAUGACGCGUAAGGGCCUUGAGAGAGGGAGCCCUGAGAUGGACUCUGAGACAUGAGUCCAGGCCCUACGGGGCGCAGCAGUCGCGAAAACUUCACAAUGGGGGAAACCCCGAUGAGGGAAUUCCAAGUGCCAGCACAUUGUGUUGGCUGUUCUCUGGUCUAAAAAACCGGAGAAGUAAGGGCCGGGUAAGACGGGUGCCAGCCGCCGCGGUAAUACCCGCGGCCCAAGUGGUGGUCGAUAUUAUUGAGCCUAAAACGUCCGUAGCCGGUCUUGUAAAUCCUUGGGUAAAUCGACCAGCUUAACUGUUCGAAGUCCGGGGAGACUGCAAGACUUGGGAUCGGGAGAGGUGAGAGGUACUUCUGGGGUAGGGGUAAAAUCCUGUAAUCCUAGAAGGACCACCGGUGGCGAAGGCGUCUCACUAGAACGAAUCCGACGGUGAGGGACGAAGCCCUGGGGCGCAAACGGGAUUAGAUACCCCGGUAGUCCAGGGUGUAAACGCUGCGGGCUUGGUGUUGGGGGUCCUUUGAGGGCGCCCAGUGCCGGAGAGAAGUUGUUAAGCCUGCUGCUUGGGGAGUACGUCCGCAAGGAUGAAACUUAAAGGAAUUGGCGGGGGAGCACCGCAACGGGAGGAGCGUGCGGUUCAAUUGG
This 899-nucleotide ribosomal RNA is filed under the name uncultured Thermoplasmata archaeon. RNAcentral describes it as "bacterial SSU rRNA". It matches the Rfam family "Archaeal small subunit ribosomal RNA", at positions 4 to 909 of the family's 1478-position model. Lineage: Archaea; Methanobacteriati; Thermoplasmatota; Thermoplasmata. The record is from RNAcentral.